AUUGAACGCUGGCGGCAUGAUUUACACAUGCAAGUCGAACGGUAACAGGCCGCAAGGUGCUGACGAGUGGCGAACGGGUGAGUAAUGCAUCGGAACGUGCCCAGUCGUGGGGGAUAACUACUCGAAAGAGUAGCUAAUACCGCAUACGAUCUAUGGAUGAAAGCGGGGGACCGUAAGGCCUCGCGCGAUUGGAGCGGCCGAUGUCAGAUUAGGUAGUUGGUGGGGUAAAGGCUCACCAAGCCAACGAUCAGUAGCUGGUCUGAGAGGACGACCAGCCACACUGGGACUGAGACACGGCCCAGACUCCUACGGGAGGCAGCAGUGGGGAAUUUUGGACAAUGGGCGCAAGCCUGAUCCAGCAAUGCCGCGUGCAGGAAGAAGGCCUUCGGGUUGUAAACUGCUUUUGUACGGAACGAAACGGCUCUGGUUAAUACCCGGGGCUAAUGACGGUACCGUAAGAAUAAGCACCGGCUAACUACGUG
Molecule: ribosomal RNA, 482 nt
Filed under: uncultured bacterium
Lineage: Bacteria
Description: partial 16S ribosomal RNA
Rfam family: Bacterial small subunit ribosomal RNA
Source: RNAcentral